GAUGAACGCUGGCGGCGUGCCUAAUACAUGCAAGUCGAGCGAACAGACGAGGAGCUUGCUCCUCUGACGUUAGCGGCGGACGGGUGAGUAACACGUGGAUAACCUACCUAUAAGACUGGGAUAACUUCGGGAAACCGGAGCUAAUACCGGAUAAUAUAUUUAACCGCAUGGUUCAAUAGUGAAAGACGGUUUUGCUGUCACUUAUAGAUGGAUCCGCGCCGCAUUAGCUAGUUGGUAAGGUAACGGCUUACCAAGGCAACGAUGCUUAGCCGACCUGAGAGGGUGAUCGGCCACAUUGGAACUGAGAAACGGUCCAGACUCCUACGGGAGGCAGCAGAAGGGAAUCUUCGGCAAUGGGCGAAAGCUUGACGGAGAAACGCCGCGUGAGUGAUGAAGGUCUUCGGUUCGUAAAACUCUGUUAUUAGGGAAGAAGAAGUGUGUAAGUAACUAUGCACGUCUUGACGGUACCUAAUCAGAAAGCCACGGCUAACUACGUG
RNAcentral lists this ribosomal RNA (497 nucleotides) under uncultured bacterium. RNAcentral's name for it is "partial 16S ribosomal RNA". It matches the Rfam family "Bacterial small subunit ribosomal RNA", at positions 28 to 507 of the family's 1533-position model. The record is from RNAcentral.